GUUUCCAUCCCCGUAAGGGGUUAAGGAAUUAAAAC
Molecule: non-coding RNA, 35 nt
Organism: Rivularia sp. PCC 7116
Lineage: Bacteria; Bacillati; Cyanobacteriota; Cyanophyceae; Nostocales; Rivulariaceae
Source: Rfam